RNAcentral lists this ribosomal RNA (403 nucleotides) under bacterium. Its description in RNAcentral is "partial 16S ribosomal RNA". It matches the Rfam family "Bacterial small subunit ribosomal RNA", at positions 355 to 776 of the family's 1533-position model. The record is from RNAcentral.
UGGGGAAUAUUGCACAAUGGAGGGAACUCUGAUGCAGCGACGCCGCGUGAACGAAGAAGGCUUUCGAGUCGUAAAGUUCUUUUAUAUGGGAAGAUAAUGACGGUACCAUAAGAAAAAGCCCCGGCUAACUACGUGCCAGCAGCCGCGGUAAUAUGUAGGGGGCUAGCGUUGUCCGGAAUCACUGGGCGUAAAGGGUUCGCAGGCGGAAAUGCAAGUCAGGUGUAAAAGGCAGUAGCUUAACUACUGUAAGCAUUUGAAACUGCAUAUCUUGAGAAGAGUAGAGGUAAGUGGAAUUUUUAGUGUAGCGGUGAAAUGCGUAGAUAUUAAAAAGAAUACCGGUGGCGAAGGCGGCUUACUGGGCUCAUUCUGACGCUGAGGAACGAAAGCGUGGGUAGCAAACAGG